This 423-nucleotide ribosomal RNA is filed under the name uncultured bacterium. RNAcentral describes it as "bacterial SSU rRNA". It matches the Rfam family "Bacterial small subunit ribosomal RNA", at positions 207 to 622 of the family's 1533-position model. The record is from RNAcentral.
AAGACCUUACGCUUUUGGAGCGGCCGAUGUCUGAUUAGCUUGUUGGUGAGGUAAAGGCUUACCAAGGCUUCGAUCAGUAGCUGGUCUGAGAGGACGACCAGCCACACUGGGACUGAGACACGGCCCAGACUCCUACGGGAGGCAGCAGUGGGGAAUUUUGGACAAUGGGGGAAACCCUGAUCCAGCCAUGCCGCGUGAGUGAAGAAGGCCUUCGGGUUGUAAAGCUCUUUCAGCCGGAACGAAACGGUUACGAUUAAUACCUGUAACUACUGACGGUACCGGAAGAAGAAGCACCGGCUAACUACGUGCCAGCAGCCGCGGUAAUACGUAGGGUGCGAGCGUUAAUCGGAAUUACUGGGCGUAAGGCGUGCGCAGGUGGUUUUGUAAGUCAGAUGUGAAAUCCCCGGGCUUAACCUGGGAACU